Helianthus annuus (common sunflower) is the source of this 944-nucleotide long non-coding RNA. RefSeq lists it as uncharacterized. The record is from RefSeq and is a predicted model, not a curated record. NCBI's taxonomy places the organism in Eukaryota, Viridiplantae, Streptophyta, Magnoliopsida, Asterales, Asteraceae. The transcript has 2 exons.
AAAAGGCGUCAGUUCGAACCCUACUGGCUCUAUUUCACUUCCCUUUCCCUUUUUUUUAGGUCGCCGCCCCUGGUGGCAGAGGUCUUCACACUUGCGUGGUGGCUCUCCCUGCUCUCAACGCGUUAGCUGACCCUCCGGUCACCUCAUGACGGCGACGAGAGGUUUUUUCAGUUUUUGAGUAGCAGACCAACAACCAACACCGUGAAGGGAAGCCGGGUUCCGGCAGCGGCGAUGGGAGUGUUCAAGAUUCGAAUGAUUGCCAGAUAAUGUGAUUCGAUGGCUUAGUGUUGAAGAUCAAAGACAUUUGAAUUUAACACCGAAAUGCUAGCUUAAUUACCUCACACUUUCCAUUUGCAACUACUAGGAAUAUACCAACUUUGGUGUGCCAUCCUUUGGUGUAGACUUUCUGAUUGAGAUAACUCAUUGUUGUAUGCCUGAAUCCCCGGAUCUCUUGAUUUUCUCUUAAUUUUUCUGUAACUCAAGCAAAAAAUGAGGGUAACUGAAAAGAUUCUUGAAUAUACGUUGGUCGGAAUUCAGAUAGAUCAGGCUAGACGAUAUUCAUAAUGUUAUGGCUUUUCAUGGUGAUCCUCCACGUGGUCAGCAUAAGUUUGUUCUAAUCCAGGGUGGGGUACUGGGGUUGUCUGUGCUCUAGACCUGGUAUGUAUCACAAUCUCAAUGUUUUGUUACAUUUGGAUUUGUGAUUUAGAAGUAUAACUGAUCGGCACAACUUUGGUGAUCAAAUAGGCACUAGAUUUUUACAAUAUGCUGGAGAUACUAAACUCCAAGCAAAGUAUUAAGAACACCAUCAUAAAGCAUAUUGUAAGAGAUACAAUGCACCAUGUACAAGUGAAUGUCCAUAUCUCUUGAUUUUUCUGUAAGUCAAGUAAAAAGUGGAGUAUACUUUUGGAUGAAGUCUGUGUUUUGAUUAGUUAGUUACUGUUUCA